RNAcentral lists this ribosomal RNA (460 nucleotides) under uncultured bacterium. Its description in RNAcentral is "partial 16S ribosomal RNA". It matches the Rfam family "Bacterial small subunit ribosomal RNA", at positions 338 to 795 of the family's 1533-position model. The record is from RNAcentral.
CCUACGGGAGGCUGCAGUGAGGAAUAUUGGGCAAUGGACGAGAGUCUGAACCAGCCAUGUAGCGUGAAGGAUGACUGCCCUAUGGGUUGUAAACUUCUUUUAUAAAGGAAUAAAACGAGGCACGGGUGCCUUUUUCCAUGUACUUUAUGAAUAAGGAACGGCCAACUACGUGCCAGCAGCCGCGGUAAUACGGAGGUUCCGAGCGUUAUCCGGAUUUAGUGGGUUUAAGGGGAGCGUAGAUGGGUUGUUAAGUCAGUUGUGAAAGUUUGCGGCUCAACCGUAAAAUUGCAAUUGAUACUGGUAGUCUUGAGUACAGUUGAGGUAGGCGGAAUUCGUGGUGUAGCGGUGAAAUGCUUAGAUAUCACGAAGAACACCGAUUGCGAAGGCAGCUUACUAAACUGUGACUGACAUUGAUGCUCGAAAGUGUGGGUAUCAAACAGGAUUAGAUACCCCAGUAGUC